UCGGAGGCAGCAGUGAGGAAUAUUGCACAAUGGGGGAAACCCUGAUGCAGCGACGCCGCGUGAGUGAUGAAGGCUUUCGGGUCGUAAAGCUCUGUCCUAAGGGAAGAUAAUGACGGUACCUUAGGAGGAAGCCCCGGCUAACUACGUGCCAGCAGCCGCGGUAAUACGUAGGGGGCGAGCGUUAUCCGGAAUUAUCGGGCGUAAAGGGUGCGUAGGCGGCCAGAUAAGUCAGGUGUGAAAGGCAACGGCUCAACCGUUGUAAGCACUUGAAACUGUUUGGCUUGAGUACAGGAGAGGAAAGUGGAAUUCCUAGUGUAGCGGUGAAAUGCGUAGAUAUUAGGAGGAACACCAGUGGCGAAGGCGACUUUCUGGACUGAUACUGACGCUGAGGCACGAAAGCGUGGGGAGCAAACAGGAUUAGAUACCCUGGUAGG
Molecule: ribosomal RNA, 434 nt
Filed under: uncultured bacterium
Lineage: Bacteria
Description: bacterial SSU rRNA
Rfam family: Bacterial small subunit ribosomal RNA
Source: RNAcentral